Molecule: non-coding RNA, 85 nt
Organism: Myotis lucifugus (little brown bat)
Lineage: Eukaryota; Metazoa; Chordata; Mammalia; Chiroptera; Vespertilionidae
Source: Rfam
AGAGAGAAUUGGAACGAUACAGAGAAGAUUAGCAUGGCCCCUGUGCAAGGAUGACAUGCAAAUUCGUGAAGCAUUCAUAUUUUUA